GUCUUUGUUGAGCUGGGAAUCUAAUGCACUCCUGACACAAGAAAAUUGUCUGCUUUCCUGUCAAUACAAACUAAAAUUAUAUCCAUAUAAAAGGUUGGGCACUCCUGCUGCUACUACACUAACUACGCCUACCACUGGGAAACAGGAGUGAGCCAAAUGGUUUCUGCCAAUAGGGAUGUUGUGUUAAUUUUUUUUCUUUAAUGACUAUGAUGGUAGUACCUGAGACAGGCUAACUUUGUAAGGAAAAGAGGUUUAUUUCGUUUACAGUUUCAGAUGCCAAAAGUCCAAACAGCCAGGCAAAGCCUCUUGCCAGGGUUCCCCUUGGUUGCAUCCCUCCAUAGUGGAUGCCAACAUCGGAAUCCAGGAUUGCAGGUGAGAGGAAGGGAUUGAAUCUUGAAAGGGCCAGAGAGGGAUGAAAGCCCCACCAGUCCUUGCAGGUGGCUCAUGGACCUUCCACUGGGCCGGUCUCUUAAAGGUCCCACCACUAUACUGAGGACCAAGCCUCCCUCACAUGAAACUUGGGGGACAAAUCACAUCCAAACCAUAACAGAUGUUAAAGGCAAAAUCAGGUUCUUUCUCCACCUCCCUAACACAUACCCAGAGCCUGAGACUCGGUAAAUAAAAGGUGGUUCAAAAGCCAGAAAAAAAAAUGUAUAUAUAAAUCAACUGAUUCAUUACCUCAGUAGAUUAAUGUGGUAGGUUUUUUAUUGUUGUUCAAUCCCUGUUGUACCAGGGAUUGAACUCAGGGGCACUCAACCACUGAGCCACAUCCCCAGCCCUAUUUUGUAUUUAGAGACAGGGUCUCACUGAGUUGCUUAGCAUCUCACUGUCUCUGAGGCUGGCUUGAACUUGCGAUCCUCCUGCCUCAGCCUCCUCAGCUUUUUAACUGCUACAACUAAAGGACCGGACCGGAACAAUUGUAGUGGCUGGGAUUCCAGGCGUAUGCCACUAUGCCCAGCAUGUUCUUGUGUCUUGCUUAGUUACCUUCUCUCAUUCUCUAAUGAAUUUGAGGUGAUUGGAUUAGGUGUAUUUUAGUAUCUGUGAAUUCUUUGAAAUUGUUAAUUGUUGUGUUUCAUACAAAGACACAGAUUCUCAGUAACCAGACUAUAUUAAUCAGACAUUCCACACCCAAUCAUUUUGAAUCAAUGAAAAAUUUACAGUGUGAUUAUAAAAGCAGAGCAGUUGUAACGGUUUAUCUGCAGCUAAAACUGGAAGGCUUUCUGCUCUAACACAUGACUAUGACUAUUACUAAAGAGGGUGAACUGUGGACAACAAGAACAUGGGAAACAUUCAGUGUGUUUUCUUCAAGUCCCUACAUAUGCAUUUGGAUUUGCCAUUUUAAAUCUUUUUCUUUGAGACUUUUAAAGCACUUCUAUGUAAAAAUACAAAUUAAGAGUUAUACACCUUUGAACUAUUUUCCUUUUUCAUUAAACAUCUAAUUCACCAAUAUAGAAAAAUUCUGAUACGAUUUUCCUAUUUGUGUGAGCUCUAAAGAGGGUGGCUAUGCUUUAUGACGCCUAAAUUAGAUUCGGUCCAAUACCCAAUCAUAAAAGUGUCUCCAUCCAAUCAAUAACAAAAAUGUAUACAUAUUCGCUGCAAUGGUCUGAGUCUAGAUGUAUAUGUGUGCACAUGUUUUCAUACAUGGACACAGCAUAAUUUGGUAGAUUUUGUACCACAGUACUUCCCCCUUAUCCUCCUCUUCCCAAUCCUUCUUUAUCUCCUUCCUGGAUUGGUCUCCCUUCUAUUUUCAUGAGAUGGUGUUUUAGUGAGCUUUUUCACUGCCGCAACUAAAGGACCAGACCAGAACAAUUGUAGAGGAGGAAAGGUUUACUUGAAGACUAAAGGUUUCAGGAGGUCUCCAUCCACAGACAGCAGGCUCCAUUCCUCAGGGCUCAAGGUGAGGCAGAACAUCAUGGCAGAGGUAAGAGGCUCAGGUCAUGAUCAGAAAGCAGACAGACAGUGCACUCUCCAGAUAAAAAAAAAUAUACCCGUAGCCACACCCCAAUGAAUUACUUCCUCUAGUCACACCCCAUCUGCCCCCAGCCACCACUCAAUUAUCCCAUCAGGGAUUGAUCUCCUGAUUAGAUUAUGCUGUGACACAGUCAUUUCUCCUCCAAACCUUCUUGCAUUGUCUCACAUGUGAGCUUUUAGGGGACACCUUAUAUCCAAGCCAUAACAGAUCCCUUUUUAAAAAAUUUCCUCUCUCCACACAUGACAGAAAACAUUUGAGCCUUGACUUUCUGAACCUGGCUCAUUUCACUUAGCAUGAUGUUCUCCAGUUCCAC
Molecule: long non-coding RNA, 2285 nt
Filed under: Marmota monax (woodchuck)
Lineage: Eukaryota; Metazoa; Chordata; Mammalia; Rodentia; Sciuridae
Source: RNAcentral